RNAcentral lists this ribosomal RNA (201 nucleotides) under uncultured bacterium. RNAcentral's name for it is "partial 16S ribosomal RNA". It matches the Rfam family "Bacterial small subunit ribosomal RNA", at positions 28 to 233 of the family's 1533-position model. The record is from RNAcentral.
GACGAACGCUGGCGGCGUGCUUAACACAUGCAAGUCGAGCGGUAAGGCCCUUUCGGGGGUACACGAGCGGCGAACGGUGAGUAACACGUGGGUGACCUGCCUCAGCUCUGGGAUAAGCCUGGGAAACCGGGUCUAUACUGGAUAUGACUCCAUGACGCAUGUUGUGGGGUGGAAAGCCUUGUGCGGCUGAGGAUGGGCCCG